CUGUAAUCAACACCGUUCAGCACGUCUGCGGCGCACGAUGCAGCGACAUCCGUGUGGCCCAAUAGAGCGAAACUCUUCUUGUUUACACAGCGCGCUACUUUUCAGAACCAACAAAUUACGGCCUUGCUGACGACGGCACGACAACUUCUGGCUGCACAAGCAACAGCGGCCGCACAUCAGACCGACCAACACGCCCAACACGUGUCGCAGCCCAGCACACUUACACAAUGUGAUCAAAAGGUCUUGUGAAAAUGCGAGAUGUGGGUCCCGAUGAGUACUUGUACCUCAGGAACACCAUCAUCCCAGCGAUGCGAGAAGCUGUGCUGUCAGUCCGUCGAACAAUGAAGG
Long non-coding RNA from Schistocerca cancellata (South American locust), 348 nucleotides. RefSeq lists it as uncharacterized. Lineage: Eukaryota; Metazoa; Arthropoda; Insecta; Orthoptera; Acrididae. The record is from RefSeq and is a predicted model, not a curated record. The transcript is spliced from 3 exons.